GGUCUGGUGGUGUAGUUGGAAACAUGUCCUCUUCAUGUGUAGUUUUUUCCGUUCUGCAUAGUUUUCAGAGGAAGUUCCUUGUUCGAGUCGAGGUCAGGCCG
Non-coding RNA from Mycena rebaudengoi, 101 nucleotides. The record is from the annotation of a GenBank genome assembly. Lineage: Eukaryota; Fungi; Basidiomycota; Agaricomycetes; Agaricales; Mycenaceae.